Molecule: long non-coding RNA, 1908 nt
Filed under: Marmota monax (woodchuck)
Lineage: Eukaryota; Metazoa; Chordata; Mammalia; Rodentia; Sciuridae
Source: RNAcentral
AAUAUUGAUCACUAGAGCUAGGAAUUGGGGAACAUGCCUGUAAUCCCAGAGACUCUGGAGGUUGAGACACAAGGAUCCCAAGUUUAAGGCCAGCCUCAGCAACUUGACAAGACCCUGUCUCAAAAUUAAAAAAGAAGACUGAGGAUGAAAUAGCUCAGUGGCAAAGUGCCCCUGUGUUCAAUCCCCAGUAAUUUUUAUAUGUGUAUAUAUAUGAUUUUACACAUCUGCCUUAACAAAAACAGAUGUAUAUGCCAAGCCCUGGUUCAUGAUGUGGAAGACUUUGUCCGUUGUUGGGGACACAGCACCAGCAGAUGACAUCCCCAAAGAAGAAAACAUAGACAAGAAGAGGAAGCUAUGAAACAACCCAGCUCCUAGCAGAGAACCUCAGAAAGGAGCUCUGUGAAUUUAGGAAAUGUAUAAGAUCCAAUGUAGUGUAGAAGCAAAUUUUGUGAAGCAGCUGGAUUAGGAUGAGAUGAUCCUUCAGGCAUCCAAAAAUGAAGACCUUGAGAACAAACCUGUGAGCUUGUGAGACUUCUACAGUUUCACAGCAGUAAAAUCCAGUCACCCUGAGAUAGUCCCCAGGGUGUUUUUGAACUUGAGAAACAACAUAAGACAAACAUGGCUGUGCUCCUGAGCUCUGCAUUGCUGCAUCCUGAACCUAUAACAUGUAUUUUAUUUAUUUACUAUCUAUUUUAUUUAUCUACUUCAUGGCAUUGCAUUGUGUUUUGGACAUUGUUGAUCUGGUGAUUUCCCUGGAUAUGAGUCUGUUUGUUUUCAGUGGUCUGGGCUUGAGAAAGAAAUGUGAUAUAAUUUGGACACUGAAAGAAGCCACAGAAAAAGAAGUGGUUAUGGAAACACUAUGGAUGAAGACUGAACAAUAGCAUGCCUUUUUUUCUUUUUUUUACAAACCAUCUAAGUCAAUAUUAAACACCUUAAAGAUUCUUUAAAUAAAGAAUAAAUCAGUGGAAUAGGUUUCUUCCUUUUCUACCUCUAAUUCACACAGAUUUAGUCCUGUAAUUAUUUCAGACCAUUUUAUUUUACUCACUGCUAUUCCCAUAUUUUUUUUAAGGGAUGUUAUUCAAUUUUUCCGGUCUACUGCCCUGGAUUAACUUUUCCUUUUACUUCUUCUCCUUUCUUCUCUCUUAUUUUCUUUCACUCUAGUCCCAGAAUAAGUCUUUCCAACCAUCUUGUUCAGCCAGUUCAUGGUUUUGGUAUUCUGAGUUCAUUUUCUGUACAUUUCUUAAAUAUAUCAAUUCUGAUUUCUUUUUAAAAAAAUUUAUGUGGUAAUAUAUUAGCAGAAGUAUCAAUACAUUUCUUUGUUAUAAUGAACUCUUUAAUUACCAUCCAUUUUUAUGAUGAUGCAUAAUCAGAGAUAGAUUUCAUAUACAGCCUGGUGAAUUCAAAUGAAUACAUUCUUAUGAGGUUUCAUAUCUUGUAGCCUUACAACAGAAGGCUACAAGAUAUGAAAUUACAACAGAAGGUCAAAGUCAGAGUAUGUUGCAAAUCAUCAGUGAUAUAUGCAAAACUAGCUGAAGUUUCUGAGUUCACUAGAGUAAAUCCAGGGUAAGGGUUAUGAAAAUAAUAAUGCAUCACUGUCAGAAGGAUCAUGUUGGAGUUAAAAGGCCAUGGUUUUCAUGCCAAACACUAAGGCCAAAAUAUGCUUCUCACCAAAGUUUUUACCUGCUAUAAGAGCAGAUGUGGUUCCAGUAGCACUCCUUAACCCCAGACCACUUUGUUUGGUGGAGUCUAAGUUGUUCCCACUGGGACUUCUUAUUCUGUGUGUAUGCAAGAACUGUAAGGCCUUCAGGUCAAACUGUAGAAAGAUGUAUCAGAAGAGACCAGAAUCUUUAGAAUAAUAAAAUUUGAUGUUGAAAUAGUGAAUGUAUGAAGAUUAAUAAACGUUGGCAA